Long non-coding RNA from Schistocerca cancellata (South American locust), 813 nucleotides. RefSeq lists it as uncharacterized. Lineage: Eukaryota; Metazoa; Arthropoda; Insecta; Orthoptera; Acrididae. The record is from RefSeq and is a predicted model, not a curated record. The transcript is spliced from 6 exons.
GGUGCAGACCUCCAUCUACCAUAGCUGCACAGAACAAGUGUGCUGCGUUCACUCGCACCGUCUGUCCCUUCAGCUAUUUGCCGUUUACCUGUCAGUACGGCCACACGAGCAAGGAGGUGCUGCUCUACCUUUCAUACGUUCCCUACUUUAUAAACUGCGACACGAAACUUUUGUUCCUCAGAUGACAUAGACUGGAAGACAACCUUAUUCCGUCAACGCUUUAUACUAACGAAAGGCGUCAUUCUUCUGGAGGAGUGCAACCGUAAGCCCAGCAAAGAACGAGAACGCACGUUUGAAACAAAGUUCGACGUCCUCGAUACCAGGAACAUAUCGUCUACAACUACUUUGACCAUCUUCAGGUUCUACCGGCAUGUUGCAAGUGAAUCUUUUCGGAUCCACACUUGAGCCUGCGAUCGAUCUUCGGAACUAUGCACUUUAUUGCCGCUGAAUCCACACGGUACCUAAGAAGAGCUUGGUUUUGUAGGCGACGCCGUUUUGUAAGAGGUCCGCAAACAAAAUGAUGACGCUGUAUCACAUUGUCGUGUUUCAUCAGGAAUAGACACCCUGUAAGAAUGGACAGCAAUAAAUUUCACAUACCAGUAUGUUACCAUUUGGAGAAAAGUAGACUACAGACACAGCCUACUACCACCAGGAGGAAAAAUAUACCCUUAUAAAUUAUAAAAAAUUACCUUAAUUUUGAUUGUCUAAUUUAUGUAUUUGUAGUAUAGAAACUAUUGAUUGAAAUCAUUUGAUUGUAGCCUACUGUUUAGAUAACAGUGUCAUAAAUGUGUGCACAAAGUUUUAAGCAUCUAA